AAGGAUCAUUACCGGGUAUUGUAGGUUGGUUCGCCAGCAUACUACCUUCACCCUUUACAAAUCCGUCCACCUUCGUUGGCGUAUGAGCGUGAGUAUAUCUCCGCUUGCCAGCAAUACUUAAACCCUGCCAAACCUUUGCAGUCUGAGUAAAAUGUUAAUAAAAAAAAACUUUCAACAACGGAUCUCUUGGUUCUG
RNAcentral lists this unclassified non-coding RNA (195 nucleotides) under uncultured fungus. RNAcentral's name for it is "partial contains 18S rRNA, ITS1, 5.8S rRNA, ITS2 and 28S rRNA". The record is from RNAcentral. Lineage: Eukaryota; Fungi.